Molecule: ribosomal RNA, 497 nt
Filed under: uncultured bacterium
Lineage: Bacteria
Description: partial 16S ribosomal RNA
Rfam family: Bacterial small subunit ribosomal RNA
Source: RNAcentral
GAUGAACGCUGGCGGCGUGCCUAAUACAUGCAAGUCGAGCGAACGGACGAGAAGCUUGCUUCUCUGAUGUUAGCGGCGGACGGGUGAGUAACACGUGGAUAACCCACCUAUAAGACUGGGAUAACUUCGAGAAACCGUAGCUAAUACCGGAUAAUAUUCUGAACCGCAUGGUUCAAAAGUGAAAGACGGUCUUGCUGUCACUUAUAGAUGGAUCCGCGCUGCAUUAGCUAGUUGGUAAGGUAACGGCUUACCAAGGCAACGAUGCAUAGCCGACCUGAGAGGGUGGUCGGCCGCACUGGAGCGGAGACACGGUCCAGACUCCUACGAGAGGGAGCAGUAGGGAAUCGUCCGCAAUGGGCGAAAGCCUGACGGAGCAGCGCCGCGUGAGUGAUAAAGGUCUUCGGAUCGUAAAACUCUGUUAUUAGGGAAAAACAUAUGUGUAAGUAACUGUGGACAUCGUGACGGUACCUAGUCAAAAAGCCACGGCUAACUACGUG